RNAcentral lists this ribosomal RNA (504 nucleotides) under uncultured Lachnospiraceae bacterium. RNAcentral's name for it is "bacterial SSU rRNA". It matches the Rfam family "Bacterial small subunit ribosomal RNA", at positions 157 to 679 of the family's 1533-position model. The record is from RNAcentral. Lineage: Bacteria; Bacillati; Bacillota; Clostridia; Lachnospirales; Lachnospiraceae.
UGACUGCUAAUACCGCGUAAGACCACGGAGCCGCAUGGCUCAGUGGGAAAAACUCCGGUGGUAUGAGAUGGACCCGCGUCUGAUUAGGUAGUUGGUGGGGUAACGGCCUACCAAGCCGACGAUCAGUAGCCGACCUGAGAGGGUGACCGGCCACAUUGGGACUGAGACACGGCCCAAACUCCUACGGGAGGCAGCAGUGGGGAAUAUUGCACAAUGGGGGAAACCCUGAUGCAGCGACGCCGCGUGAGCGAAGAAGUAUUUCGGUAUGUAAAGCUCUAUCAGCAGGGAAGAAAAUGACGGUACCUGACUAAGAAGCACCGGCUAAAUACGUGCCAGCAGCCGCGGUAAUACGUAUGGUGCAAGCGCUAUCCGGAUUUACUGGGUGUAAAGGGAGCGUAGACGGCUGUGUAAGUCUGAAGUGAAAGCCCGGGGCUCAACCCCGGGACUGCUUUGGAAACUAUGCAGCUAGAGUGUCGGAGAGGUAAGUGGAAUUCCCAGUGUAGC